This 73-nucleotide non-coding RNA is filed under the name Muricomes intestini. The record is from RNAcentral. Lineage: Bacteria; Bacillati; Bacillota; Clostridia; Lachnospirales; Lachnospiraceae.
CGGUCUCAUUAGCCGUAGUAACAACGAACCAUGAGAAGUCAGCAGAGGCCAUAGUAGGCGACAGCCGAAGGGC